This 264-nucleotide ribosomal RNA is filed under the name uncultured bacterium. RNAcentral's name for it is "partial 16S ribosomal RNA". It matches the Rfam family "Bacterial small subunit ribosomal RNA", at positions 793 to 1055 of the family's 1533-position model. The record is from RNAcentral.
GUCCACGCCCUAAACGGUGCAUACUAGGUCUCGGCUGGUUCGACCUUGCCGGGGCUCAAGCUAACGCGUUAAGUAUGCCGCCUGAGGACUACGGCCGCAAGGCUAAAACUCAAAGGAAUUGACGGGGGCCCCGCACAAGCGGUGGAGUAUGUGGCUUAAUUCGAUGCAACGCGAAGAACCUUACCUAGCCUUGACAUGCAUUAGACUGGUGUUGAAAGACACUUUUCCUUCGGGACUAUUGCACAGGUGCUGCAUGGCUGUCGU